Molecule: ribosomal RNA, 301 nt
Filed under: uncultured bacterium
Lineage: Bacteria
Description: partial 16S ribosomal RNA
Rfam family: Bacterial small subunit ribosomal RNA
Source: RNAcentral
CAGUAGCCACGGGAAUACGUAGGGUGCGAGUGUUAAUCGGAAUUACUGGGCGUAAAGCGUGCGCAGGCGGUGAGUUAAGUCUGCUGUGAAAUCCCCGGGCUCAACCUGGGCAUGGCAGUGGAUACUGGCUCGCUAGAGUGUGUCAGAGGAUGGUGGAAUUCCCGGUGUAGCGGUGAAAUGCGUAGAGAUCGGGAGGAACAUCAGUGGCGAAGGCGGCCAUCUGGGACAACACUGACGCUGAGGCACGAAAGCGUGGGGAGCAAACAGGAUUAGAUACCCCCGUAGUCCCUGUCUCUUAUAC